RNAcentral lists this ribosomal RNA (201 nucleotides) under uncultured Mycoplasma sp. Its description in RNAcentral is "partial 16S ribosomal RNA". It matches the Rfam family "Bacterial small subunit ribosomal RNA", at positions 161 to 355 of the family's 1533-position model. Lineage: Bacteria; Bacillati; Mycoplasmatota; Mollicutes; Mycoplasmatales; Mycoplasmataceae. The record is from RNAcentral.
GGCUAAUGCCGGAUACGCAUGGAACCGCAUGGUUCCGUUGUGAAAGGCGCUGCAAGGCGCCACUAAAAGAUGAGGGUGCGGAACAUUAGUUAGUUGGUGAGGUAAUGGCCCACCAAGACUAUGAUGUUUAGCCGGGUCGAGAGACUGAACGGCCACAUUGGGACUGAGAUACGGCCCAGACUCCUACGGGAGGCAGCAGCC